UACGUAGGGUGCAAGCGUUGUCCGGAAUUAUUGGGCGUAAAGAGCUCGUAGGCGGUUUGUCACGUCUGCUGUGAAAUCCCGAGGCUCAACCUCGGGCCUGCAGUGGGUACGGGCAGACUGGAGUGCGGUAGGGGAGAAUGGAAUUCCUGGUGUAGCGGUGGAAUGCGCAGAUAUCGAGAGGAACACCUGCGGCGAAGGCGGGUUGCUGGGCCGACACUGACGCUGAUGCGCGAAAGCCAGGGGAGCGAACGGG
Molecule: ribosomal RNA, 253 nt
Filed under: uncultured bacterium
Lineage: Bacteria
Description: partial 16S ribosomal RNA
Rfam family: Bacterial small subunit ribosomal RNA
Source: RNAcentral